AUCCCAUCCCGAACUCAGUAGUGAAACGAUGCAUCGCCGAUGGUAGUGUGGGGUUUCCCCAUGUGAGAGUAGGUCAUCGUCAAGA
Molecule: ribosomal RNA, 85 nt
Filed under: Pseudomonas putida
Lineage: Bacteria; Pseudomonadati; Pseudomonadota; Gammaproteobacteria; Pseudomonadales; Pseudomonadaceae
Also listed under: 6 other names
Source: RNAcentral